GAGUUUGAUCUUGGCUCAGAUUGAACGCUGGCGGCAUGCCUUACACAUGCAAGUCGAACGGCAGCACGGGAGCUUGCUCCUGGUGGCGAGUGGCGAACGGGUGAGUAAUGCAUCGGAACGUAUCCUGGAGUGGGGGAUACCGUAGCGAAAGUUACGCUAAUACCGCAUAUUCUGUGAGCAGGAAAGCGGGGGACCUUCGGGCCUCGCGCUCUUGGAGCGGCCGAUGUCGGAUUAGCUAGUUGGUGAGGUAAAGGCUCACCAAGGCGACGAUCCGUAGCAGGUCUGAGAGGAUGAUCUGCCACACUGGAACUGAGACACGGUCCAGACUCCUACGGGAGGCAGCAGUGGGGAAUUUUGGACAAUGGGGGCAACCCUGAUCCAGCCAUGCCGCGUGAGUGAAGAAGGCCUCGGUUG
This 414-nucleotide ribosomal RNA is filed under the name bacterium enrichment culture clone ALO1_GLFRUDD03GC6ZS. RNAcentral's name for it is "bacterial SSU rRNA". It matches the Rfam family "Bacterial small subunit ribosomal RNA", at positions 9 to 425 of the family's 1533-position model. The record is from RNAcentral.